GGGGGGGGGGGGGGGGGGGGGGGGGGGGGGGAGGGCGAGCGGUGGGGGGAGGGGUGGUUGCGGGGUCUGGGUGGGUGGCGAACGGGUGGGUAACACGGGAGUAACCUGCCCCCUUCUUCUGGAUAACCGCAUGAAAGUGUGGCUAAUACGGGAUAUUCUGCGCCUGCUGCGUGGUGGGUGGGGGACAGGUAUUGUUUGGGUGGGGGAUGGGCUCGCGGCCUAUCAGCUUGUUGGUGGGGUGGUGGCCUACCAAGGCGGUGCCGGGUAGCCGGCCUGAGAGGGUGGACGGCCACAAUGGGACUGAGACACGGCCCAGACUCCUACGGGAGGCAGCAGUGGGGAAUAUUGCACAAUGGGCGCAAGCCUGAUGCAGCGACGCCGCGUGAGGGAUGGAGGCCUUCGGGUUGUAAACCUCUUUCGCCAGUGAAGCAGGCCUGUCCCUUUUGUGGGUGGGUUGACGGUAGCUGGAUAAGAAGCGCCGGCUAACUACGUG
RNAcentral lists this ribosomal RNA (493 nucleotides) under uncultured bacterium. RNAcentral describes it as "partial 16S ribosomal RNA". It matches the Rfam family "Bacterial small subunit ribosomal RNA", at positions 37 to 507 of the family's 1533-position model. The record is from RNAcentral.